UCCGUAGGUGAACCUGCGGAAGGAUCAUUAAUGAAUUCACUAUGGAGUUGUUGCUGGCCUCUAGGGGCAUGUGCACGCUUCACUAGUCUUUCAACCACCUGUGAACUUUUGAUAGAUCUGUGAAGUCGUCUCUCAAGUCGUUAGACUUGGUUUGCUGGGAUGUAAACGUCUCGGUGUGACUACGCAGUCUAUUUACUUAUAACACCCCAAAUGUAUGUCUACGAAUGUCAUUUAAAGGGCCUUGUGCCUAUAAACCAUAAUACAACUUUCAACAACGGAUCUCUUGGCUCUCGCAUCGAUGAAGAACGCAGCGAAAUGCGAUAAGUAAUGUGAAUUGCAGAAUUCAGUGAAUCAUCGAAUCUUUGAACGCACCUUGCGCCCCUUGGUAUUCCGAGGGGCAUGCCUGUUUGAGUGUCAUUAAAUUCUCAAACUCACUCUGGUUUUUCCAAUUGUGAUGUUUGGAUUGUUGGGGGCUGCUGGCCUUGACAGGUCGGCUCCUCUUAAAUGCAUUAGCAGGACUUCUCAUUGCCUCUGCGCAUGAUGUGAUAAUUAUCACUCAUCAAUAGCACGCAUGAAUAGAGUCUGGCUCUCUAACCGUCCGCAAGGACAAUUUGACAAUUUGACCUCAAAUCAGGUAGGACUACCCGCUGAACUUAAGCAUAUCAAUAAGCGGAGGA
This 677-nucleotide ribosomal RNA is filed under the name Pleurotus eryngii var. ferulae. RNAcentral describes it as "eukaryotic LSU rRNA". The stretch from base 264 to 417 matches the Rfam family "5.8S ribosomal RNA". The record is from RNAcentral. Lineage: Eukaryota; Fungi; Basidiomycota; Agaricomycetes; Agaricales; Pleurotaceae.